Aspergillus viridinutans is the source of this 120-nucleotide ribosomal RNA. NCBI's taxonomy places the organism in Eukaryota, Fungi, Ascomycota, Eurotiomycetes, Eurotiales, Aspergillaceae. The record is from RefSeq and is a predicted model, not a curated record.
ACAUACAACCAUAGGGUGUGGAGAACAGGGCUUCCCAUCUGCUCAGCCAUACUUAAGCCACACGCUAGCUGGUUAGUAGUUAGGUAGGUGACUACUAGUGAAUCCUAGCUAUUAUAUAUU